UGGGGUUGUCCUAAGUCAAACUAUUUCAACUUUGACCAGGUUUGUAGAAAAAUACCAAGAUAUCCAACACUAAACAAAUGCAAUAUGAAAAUAUAUUUGAUAGUAGUCCUAAUGAUACUAGUUUGGUGUUGAAUAAGUUGGUGUUUUUUUCUACAAACCCGAUCAAAAUUGACAAAGUUUGACUUAUGACAGACAGAC
RNAcentral lists this microRNA precursor (198 nucleotides) under Brachypodium distachyon (stiff brome). Its description in RNAcentral is "MIR1435 microRNA precursor family". It matches the Rfam family "MIR1435 microRNA precursor family". The record is from Rfam by way of RNAcentral. Lineage: Eukaryota; Viridiplantae; Streptophyta; Magnoliopsida; Poales; Poaceae.